RNAcentral lists this ribosomal RNA (697 nucleotides) under Bacillus cereus. RNAcentral describes it as "bacterial SSU rRNA". It matches the Rfam family "Bacterial small subunit ribosomal RNA", at positions 1 to 644 of the family's 1533-position model. The record is from RNAcentral. Lineage: Bacteria; Bacillati; Bacillota; Bacilli; Caryophanales; Bacillaceae.
AGAAUAUUUUUUUUUAGAUGCUAGACAACUAACUUUAUUGGAGAGUUUGAUCCUGGCUCAGGAUGAACGCUGGCGGCGUGCCUAAUACAUGCAAGUCGAGCGAAUGGAUUAAGAGCUUGCUCUUAUGAAGUUAGCGGCGGACGGGUGAGUAACACGUGGGUAACCUGCCCAUAAGACUGGGAUAACUCCGGGAAACCGGGGCUAAUACCGGAUAACAUUUUGAACCGCAUGGUUCGAAAUUGAAAGGCGGCUUCGGCUGUCACUUAUGGAUGGACCCGCGUCGCAUUAGCUAGUUGGUGAGGUAACGGCUCACCAAGGCAACGAUGCGUAGCCGACCUGAGAGGGUGAUCGGCCACACUGGGACUGAGACACGGCCCAGACUCCUACGGGAGGCAGCAGUAGGGAAUCUUCCGCAAUGGACGAAAGUCUGACGGAGCAACGCCGCGUGAGUGAUGAAGGCUUUCGGGUCGUAAAACUCUGUUGUUAGGGAAGAACAAGUGCUAGUUGAAUAAGCUGGCACCUUGACGGUACCUAACCAGAAAGCCACGGCUAACUACGUGCCAGCAGCCGCGGUAAUACGUAGGUGGCAAGCGUUAUCCGGAAUUAUUGGGCGUAAAGCGCGCGCAGGUGGUUUCUUAAGUCUGAUGUGAAAGCCCACGGUUCAACCGUGGAGGGUCAUUGGAACCUGUGAGACUCU